UAACUGUUGGACAGUCAGGAUUGACGUCAGGCUUGCUGUAUAGCUGGAAUUGAUUAUCAAGACAACAAAAAGCCAUAUGAUCAUCACCAAACGACCAAGUGUGCUCAUUGUCUUUUCUCUAUGCGCAAAAAACAUAGUUGAAAAGCUAAACCAGAGAAUUGUAACAACUUGCUUCUUAGGAGGCCCCCGGAAUUCAUCAUUGAUUCUAUGUUCAAGAAUCCAUACAACAGCUCCCACAAGAAGGAAAAAAAGUGCUGUAACAACCCACAUCCAUAAAGUAAAUGGUCGCAAGAAUGCCCAGGCACUUGAAUUCAAUUUCCUGACAGGAGCUACUACAACUAGCCCUGACUCUAUAUACGGCUGGGUGAAAUCCACAACCCUU
Molecule: unclassified non-coding RNA, 382 nt
Filed under: Hevea brasiliensis (rubber tree)
Lineage: Eukaryota; Viridiplantae; Streptophyta; Magnoliopsida; Malpighiales; Euphorbiaceae
Source: RNAcentral